Molecule: ribosomal RNA, 619 nt
Filed under: embryophyte environmental sample
Lineage: Eukaryota; Viridiplantae; Streptophyta
Description: eukaryotic LSU rRNA
Rfam family: 5.8S ribosomal RNA (bases 212-367)
Source: RNAcentral
AAGGAGAAGUCGUAACAAGGUUUCCGUAGGUGAACCUGCGGAAGGAUCAUUGUCGAUGCCUCACAAUCAGAUUGACCCGCGAACGUGUUUAAAAGAUAGUCGGGUGAAUUUGUGGCUCCACCAACCCCGGCGCAGUACGCGCCAAGGAAUAGAAAAUGAAAAGGGCGUGCUUUUCUUUCGGAAUGCAUUGCCUUCUUUCAAGAAUCAAAAUGACUCUCGGCAACGGAUAUCUCGGCUCUCGCAUCGAUGAAGAACGCAGCAAAAUGCGAUACUUGGUGUGAAUUGCAGAAUCCCGUGAAUCAUCGAGUUUUUGAACGCAAGUUGCGCCCGAAGCCUUUCGGCCAAGGGCACGCCUGCCUGGGUGUCACGCAUACGUCGCCCCAUCCUCUCGACACCUCGGGAGUCAUGGGAGCAGAAGUUGGCCUCCUGUGUGCCUUGCGCAUGUGGUUGGCCCAAAAUGCAUGUUCGCGGCAAAUGAUAGCCAUGACGAUCGGUGGUUGUAAAGACCCUCUGAAAAAGUCGUGCGCUGUUCUUAGCCGUCGGGACAUUCCUUGACCCUAGGGCGUCCUCAGGGCGCGCUCCGACCGCGACCCCAGGUCAGGCGGGACUACCCGCUGAG